Molecule: ribosomal RNA, 1701 nt
Filed under: Triticum aestivum (bread wheat)
Lineage: Eukaryota; Viridiplantae; Streptophyta; Magnoliopsida; Poales; Poaceae
Description: partial small subunit ribosomal RNA
Source: RNAcentral
AUGGGUCUGGCGGGUUCGUCGGCGGCGGCUCGAGGCCCGGCUGGGCGGGCUGCGCUGGCAGAACCGGAGCCGGCCAUGGGAUGGUGCCGCCCUGGUCCUUCGCGCAUGGCCAUGUGGCGUCGUCGUCGCGCGCUCCGGCGCCAACAGGAGGCUGGUGCUCUGCGCAGAUCAGGGUCGCCCCUGUCCUCGGAGUUGUGGUUCAUCCCGCCGGACCUCCACGGGCUAUGCUUCAGGUGCUUCGAGGAGGGCCACCGGCGUCAAGACUGCAGCAACCCCCCGCUUUGCAUCCGUUGUGGUGGCGCCGGCCACGUCUCCUCUCAGUGUCUGGAGCCGCGUAGCCCCAUCUCUGCGGAUGAGCUCCGGCGCAUUGUCAUUGCCAGGGUCGCGCGGAGGGAGCCGGCACCGCGUCAGCUUCCAGCUGUUCGGCAGAGAUUGUUGGAGCCUAGGCAGAGCGCACCCGCGGUGUCGCUCUCGCCAGUUGCGCCCAAUCUCGCCUCUAUGGCCUGGGGGGUGGCGCCCUCACCGUCUUCCUCGGAGAUUUGUGUGCUGCAGAGGUCGGAGUGCAUGGACGAUCUCGAGCGCAGGCUGCAGCUCGCGGUGGUGAUGUAUGUGGGCGGGGCGAGGCCGCCGGUGUCAUGUGAGGAUGCGGCGGUGGCGAUUGCUGCUCAGUUGGGCAUUCCAAGAUUCCGGUUUUCUGUCCACAAAUUCCACCCGGAGGAUUUCCUGGUUGUCUUCGCGGCGCACCAGUCCAGGAACUUGGCGUUAGUUGUUCCGUCGAUUGAGCACCAGGGAAUCAAGCUGUUCAUCAAGCCCUGGCUUACGCAGGCGCAGGCCACUUCUCGGUUGAUGAGAGUUCAGGGUGGUAGCUUUGCGACCACGACCGAGGAGAUCCCGAGGCAUUCAAAUAUGGCGAGGACCCAACAGGGAGCGAUAGCCACCAGGAGGGAGACAGCUGGCGAGUUGGCUGCAUCGGAUCCGUUGGCAAAGGGUGGCGAGGAGAACGAUGCGCCAGACAAAUCGGCUUUUGCAGUGGAUCAGGUUCGGGUAGUGGUUCAGAAGCAGGGUACGUUGGUGCUAGGUUCUGGGGUGGCAAGGCAGGAGAGGGCCACCAAUCAGAAGGCGCCUGAGAGGGAGGUGCAGCAUGUGGACACGGCUACAGUCGAGGAUGAUUUGGUGGAUCCCACGCGGACGGAACAUGAGGCGGGACCGGGCGAUGAGCUACCAGCCAGCCUGGAUCCGGUGCGGUCGGAUUCCCCGUGGGCUCCCCCAUCGCUGGCGGUCGCACAGGAGAUGGCGCCGCAGAUUAUCCCCGCCCAUCAAAUAGUUGUGGUGGGUCACGACCAGUCCAAUGGCUGGGCCCCGGUUGCGGAUCUUCUGCAUGGUUCUGCUGGAGGACAGCCAAUGAGUGAGGCCGAGGUUGCCUCCACCUUGAUUCCUGGGGCCAUGCAGCCAGACGUGGGGAGGGAGGGCACUGUUGGCGACGUGACUACGUACACUGCAUGUGAUGAUUUGGCGCUGAUUAGCUCGGAUCCUGGUGCCCGGAACAAUGGACUGGAGUUGGAUGCUACGGAGGCACGUUUAUCCUAUAAGGAGGAACUUGCGGUGAACAACAUCAAGACUUUUUGUGCUGGUCUGCUCAAGAAAUUAGCCCCACCAGUACUCAAGGAGUUUGAGGGACUCAGGGGAGUGAAACCUGGCUAG